AGGAGCGGCGCGCCCACACGAAUCAGGGCAGACCUGGGCACUGAGAACCGCUCAGUGGAGCAGAUGCAGAUGUUUUUAAGAGGUACCCAUGACGAUGAGUUCAGUGAGAGAUGCUACAUUACCGGUUCAAGCAAUCACAACCAAAGGAUUGAACAAUGGUGGGGAUUUUUAAGGAAACACCAUGCACAAUUCUGGAUCAGUGUCUUCCAAGAUUUAAAGGACCAUGACCACUUCUCAGGGGACUUCAUCGACAAAAAUCUCAUACAAUUCACAUGCUUGGAAAUAAUUGAGAGAGAGCUGCAGGACCUUGCUAACCUGUGGAAUUGCCACAGAAUUCGCCCCAGUAGGAAUGCAGUUUCUCCAAGUGGACGACCACUAUUGAUGUACAACCUUCCCCAUCUGUUUGGCACCACAAACUACAUCAAGGCAGUAUCCCAUCAACAGAUCCAGGCUUGUAGAGAGGAAUGCCUGCCAAGAGGUCCAAAUCCAUGUGAUGAGACUGUUUUUGACAUUUGCUGCCUUGCAAUGUCAGAAAACUAUCUGCACCCACCUACUUCUUCUGAGGAGGCAAUUGAACUCUACCUUUUCUUACGAGCCUACAUCCACACUCAGAUUUAAUAGCUGUUCCCAGACAGACAGCAGCGACCUGCAGAAAGAUAACUAGCCAACCGGUGAAUUUUAACUUUAAAAUUGCCUGUAACUGACCUGAAAUAUCAUUGUCACUGUUAUUUUUGUUGUUAAUAUCUGUCUAAUUAAUGUUUUGUAAUCACCAUGGCAGUGACAAUUGCAAAUUUACCUGUAUUACAUCUGAAUGUCAUUUUAGUAUGAAGACAAUUGAAACCUGUGAGGUACAGUAUGUUUAAAGUCUUGAUUAUGUGUAAUGUAUACACUGUGGGCUUUGUCAAAAGAGUAAAUAAUUUAUAGGCUCUGUUAUAACUUUGAUUCAAACACUUUACCUGAUUUAUAAAGGGACCAACUGGUACCAACUGUGCCCAAAUCUUUGUAAUAUAAUAUUGAAAUUCAAGCACUCUGGAAUUCAUCUUCAGGAUUAUCGGUCUCUUAAAAAAUGCUGAAAAAUUACAUUAGACAGCAAAUGGUGAACACUAAUAUCAUUAAUGUGGCAUUUUGUUGAAUGCAAUGAAGUUAAUAAAAACUUUUUUGUA
Thalassophryne amazonica is the source of this 1163-nucleotide long non-coding RNA. RefSeq lists it as uncharacterized. The record is from RefSeq and is a predicted model, not a curated record. The transcript is spliced from 3 exons. Lineage: Eukaryota; Metazoa; Chordata; Actinopteri; Batrachoidiformes; Batrachoididae.